RNAcentral lists this transfer RNA (72 nucleotides) under Escherichia phage ST2. RNAcentral's name for it is "tRNA-Asn". It matches the Rfam family "tRNA". Rfam says of the family: Transfer RNA (tRNA) molecules are approximately 80 nucleotides in length. Their secondary structure includes four short double-helical elements and three loops (D, anti-codon, and T loops). The record is from RNAcentral. Lineage: Duplodnaviria; Heunggongvirae; Uroviricota; Caudoviricetes; Sarkviridae.
GGAUGUGUAGCUCAGUGGUAGAGCAGUUGACUGUUAAUCAAUUGGCCCAUGGUUCGAAUCCAUGCACGUCCG